Molecule: ribosomal RNA, 253 nt
Filed under: uncultured bacterium
Lineage: Bacteria
Description: partial 16S ribosomal RNA
Rfam family: Bacterial small subunit ribosomal RNA
Source: RNAcentral
UACGUAGGGGGCAAGCGUUGUCCGGAUUUAUUGGGCGUAAAGAGCGUGUAGGCGGCUGGGUAGGUCCGUUGUGAAAACUCGAGGCUCAACCUCGAGACGCCGAUGGAAACCCCCCAGCUAGAGUCCGGAAGAGGAGAGUGGAAUUCCUGGUGUAGCGGUGAAAUGCGCAGAUAUCAGGAAGAACACCCGUGGCUAAGGCGGCUCUCUGGGACGGUACUGACGCUGAGACGCGAAAGCGUGGGGAGCAAACAGG